GAUGAACGCUGGCGGCGUGCUUAACACAUGCAAGUCGAGCGAGAAGUUUUGAAAAGAUUCUUCGGAUGAAAUUUAAAAUGGAAAGCGGCGGACGGGUGAGUAACGCGUAGGCAACCUGCCCCAUACAAAGGGAUAGCAUUUGGAAACGAAUAUUAAUACCUUAUGAAACUUAACUAGUGCAUGCUAGGUAGGUCAAAGAUUUAUCGGUAUGGGAUGGGCCUGCGUCUGAUUAGCUAGUUGGUGAGGUAACGGCUCACCAAGGCGACGAUCAGUAGCCGACCUGAGAGGGUGAACGGCCACAUUGGAACUGAGACACGGUCCAAACUCCUACGGGAGGCAGCAGUGGGGAAUAUUGCACAAUGGGGGAAACCCUGAUGCAGCAACGCCGCGUGAACGAUGAAGGCCUUUGGGGCGUAAAGUUCAGUUCUAGGUGAUGAAAACUGACAGUAACCUAGGAGAAAGCCCCGGCUAACUCCGUG
Molecule: ribosomal RNA, 479 nt
Filed under: uncultured bacterium
Lineage: Bacteria
Description: partial 16S ribosomal RNA
Rfam family: Bacterial small subunit ribosomal RNA
Source: RNAcentral